UUGUCACAGCUUAAGUCGCAACCACCAGUUGAUGUCCUUCUGUCAUUCCCCAGCAACAGGGGACCAUGGCACCACCUACAAGGAGGAGUAUGACCCAGCAGCCGACACCUCCAAUCCCGGGGCUUCCACUGG
Molecule: long non-coding RNA, 132 nt
Organism: Thalassophryne amazonica
Lineage: Eukaryota; Metazoa; Chordata; Actinopteri; Batrachoidiformes; Batrachoididae
Exons: 3
Source: RefSeq, a predicted model, not a curated record